UAUUCAAAAUAGACUUUGUCACCCGUUCACAUAUAAACAGAGCAGCGACACAACGUAAAGAAAUGUUGCUCUUGUGUGUGUGCCUUUACCCACUCUAGUUCAGUCCUUUAACAGAUAGACAUCAUCGCCCUUCAAGGAACAAUCAGUUUGGCUCGAGGAACGACUUUCUCCUUCCCCACGCCCCAGGUUUGGAAUGGCUGAUUUGUCUUACAUAUCUCAGCGAGAGAGAGCAGCUGGCUCGAAAUACGAUCUAAGAAUGAUUUGGGAGAAGAAAAUCGAAAAGCAGACGGAGUGGCUGGAGCAGGAGAGGCUGAGGCUGAGCAAGAGUGCCCUUAGUAGACUCAUCCAAGAAUGGAACCACAGAGUUGAAAGCAAAAAAAGGCUGAUGCAAACCAUUUUAGAAAAUGACAGAAAGAAAAAGAAACCUGUUCAGCAAAUACCUUCCAGUGCUUAAUUGGUGAAGAUACAAUCAAGUCAAUCUAGGACAGGCAGCCAUCGUGAUAUUUAUCGAUUGCAGUGCAAAUGUGUAGUUUUAGAAGAUUGUGGCAUUCUGAAUUAACUCUAAUACAUUACCUAAUUCUUUACAAUAAUAUUCUUAUUAAAUCUGCUCAGUUUCCAAUAAUUUUCUGAUUUCAUGUGAAAAGUUAUUGCUUGAUUUAUUGCACUCUUAUUUAUAGAACACUUUAGAUUUAAUUUUUGUAAAUGUUAGUUACAGAAGUUAUGAAAGUUUGGGGUUUUAUAUGUAAGAAAAUGUUUACAGGUAGCAGAAGUGGUCCUUAAUGAGGUAAUGGGUAAAAGCUAUGCAGUUACAGUGCAAUGAUUUUGAUAUGAGUGGCCUUUUAUUGUAAUUUAACUAAUGGAUGUAUUUACUGGGAUGGUAUUUGGUAUAUCCGGCUCUUCUAAGUGAUCACUUGAUUCAGAAGAAGUGGUUGUGAGAGCCCAAAGAAUUGAAUGUAGAACGUUGAAUGAACAAUACUUUAUUGUCACUUGUGACAAGUCACAGUAAUAUUCUUUGUUUUACAUACCCAAAGUAUGCAAAGAGUCGCCGCAUAAAGGAUACCGUUGAUAUAGAAACUAGUUGGAAGUAUCAGCCAAAAGGUGUGGAAACAGGAUUUUUGAGAUGAGAUUAUGAAAACAAGUGAACGAUUUUCAGUAUAUUAUCAAGUAUAAAGAAUUACACAGAGAAUGAAAGAAAGCAAAGAAAUUAUUAAACAUGUAGUUUCUUGCUUACUGCAGCUCCAUCAAAUUGAAGUUUCCCAAAUUGCUGCAUGAGAUACAACAGUCAGUGACCAUGUCAAUGGUGAAUAUGUCAAUGAUGACUGAGCUCAACCUUGAAGCAGUAAACAUGUUCAAUGUAGCCUGGCUGUCUAAACUCGCAAAUUUCAAGCAUAGACUGUUCAUUGCUGCCACAGGAUUAUGAGAACAUUAACAAGGCAUUAGCAACUAUGAGUAAUACUUUAUUCCAGGUAACUGAAAUAUCUGAUGAGGCAAAAAUGCCAUUCUGUGUUGCUUCACUGAUGAGAUAGAUCCCCAUUGAUUGCAGGGACAGUAAGUAAUGGCAGAAUGUGUCUUGGAUUAACUCACUAUAAAUUAUGCAGAAACCUUUUAAUUUCACACAUUGUGAUUCCAGAAUUGCCAUUUCCUGCCUUGCUCUCCAAAAGUUGGUAUCACAGUGUGGUUCCGCCAGUGCUGACAGCCAUUUGUCAAAUGUGAGCUUAGUUGGUGAGUGUUGCCAAGUUAUUAGAACAUGGAAAAAAGCCAGACUUAACCCUGUCCUUGUCCAUCUGUCCCACAUAUGCACAUUGCAACCAGGGUAUUGGGAUAGGAACAAGAAAGGGAUUUCUGAGCUGUUUCAUUUUUAAACCUGUGAUCUAUGGGCCGUUUGUAGAAUCUCACAGAAAAUGGGAUGUGUGUGAUUUUGAAAGUGAUUGUUGGAGAAUUUAAUAAAACUUUAUUUUGCUCUUAAUAAAAGGUGUAGAUGCAUUGAUAAAAGUCAA
Amblyraja radiata (thorny skate) is the source of this 1997-nucleotide long non-coding RNA. RefSeq lists it as uncharacterized. The record is from RefSeq and is a predicted model, not a curated record. The transcript has 3 exons. Lineage: Eukaryota; Metazoa; Chordata; Chondrichthyes; Rajiformes; Rajidae.